AACAAAUAUUUAACUCACAAAUUUUUGUCGAAACGUCGAGACAAUAAAAAGAUUUACUGGCCAAAGAUUCACGCAAAGGCUCCGGCAGCUACGCGUCAUAUAGGCGGAACAUAAGGAAAAGGGAGUUAUACCUCUAGGUACCGAACAUGUAAUAUUAGUUUAUAUUCUCUAGCUAACAUUUCUACAUAAACUGUUGAAAUUGAUAAUUUGUUGGUAAGCUGCCAAAGUAUAUAUUGACCAUCGUGGCAGUAAAAGCAAUAUGUAAAUAGUGGAGCGCUUUUUGUGAUUUGAACGAUACCAUUUGGGUUAAUAUAUAUUUUUUAAUGAAAUAUAUAUAUGUAUAUUAAUGAUUAUUAAAUGUGAAUUUCUUAUUUUAGAUAAGUCUUUUUAAAAACCAGCUUUGCUCCUUUUAUUUUGACAUAAAUAGGCAUUGAAUAGACGAAGAUAGAAAAUAUAGCUGAUACACACAAUCUCUUAAAUUGAAAAAAGGAUGUACUCUCUUUUAAUUUAAAACAUUCAAAAUAUCAAGUUGAAAUUAUGGAUUUGAAAGUGUUUGUCUUACCAGUGAUGAGCUCUACUAGCGGUGUCGCCUGUUAAAUGACCAAACUGCUGCUAUUGUGCUACAUUUUCGGCUUAUAUGGACAUCUAAAGCUCCAUUAUUGUUGAAGGUAUAUUUUCUAGGUAUACUCUAUAUAAAUAUUAUCAUUUAAAAUUUCCGAAGUUUUUACCUCAGAUUAUACGCAGUCUUGACAUCGUACCAUCGAAAGCGCUUAGAUUUCAUUACUGAUUAAAGAAAUAGCAUUCCCAUUAUUUUACAUGUAAUAAAGCAUCCACUUGCUUUAUUAGAAAACUAUAUCGGGUAAAAGGUUAAUUUGAAUUCAAAUUUUUCAUUCAAAAUGUGAAAUUAUAAAAUGGUAAUUGAGAGUUAAUUUAUGAAAACAUUUCAACUACGUGCCUUAGAGGCAUCUUAGAGAUAAAUUGAGGCGCUGGAACUGGAGAGUUGUUGAUCAAGCUCGUUUGGGAUUAUCUAAGAGAUUCCUUUGUGUCUUUUCGAUUUUAAAAAUAAUUAUAUUUAUAAUAUUUAUUCAAUAAAGAAACUCUAUUUUAAAUUGGGGGUUUGUCCACAAUUAGUCUCGAACUAACUUAAAAACCAAUCAAAUUUAAACACAUUAUAUAUCUUUAAAAAUUUUAAAUUGGAUAAACAUCUCUAAAAUAUAUAACAAGGCAAGAAAAAGUCAAUUAUAUAAUACCCCUAUAACCUAAAAUCAAAAUGCCAUUUCAGAUUUCAAAAGAAAGAUGAGUCUUAAGUAAGAGAAAAAAAUAAAUUGGAAAUUGCUCGCUGACUAUGUAACAUUAAAUUAAACACGCGACCAGGAAAAAAAAAGAGUCAUAUUCUUAAAUGGUAUAAUAACAUCGAUCAUAAUUUGUUUGGGGUGCUAGCAUGGAAUGCUCUAUCGCCAGGUGAGAAAGAAAAGCUUUCGUUCAAGUUGGCACAAAGGCGCUUCAUCACGUAGCAAUUCAUUCAAGGCCAAACGUUAUCUUUCCACAUUUAACUCUUAACAGUACGAUGAUUGAAGAAGAAGACCCUUGGUACCGCCAUCCGUCUUGUCCUAUUUGCCGCAUUCCACGACCACCACCCGGGGUGCUGCCUUGGCUGGAAAACAAACACCCUGCUGCUGCUGGCCUCGGAAUGUCUGUCUCCUUUGUCGUCAAUACCUGACCUUUAUGCAAAUCUAGCAUAUGUUGGAAUUUGUGGUUAGGGCAAGAAGGAACCAUACUCUUAACGAAGUCCUUUUUGUAUCAUCUAAAGGCAAUCGUAUUAAACUUUGAACUAAAGUAUUGGCUUAGAAUUGAAGGUGAAACUCUCUCCCUCUUUUUUCAGUAGCGAGCUAUAAGCAAUAAUAUUACAUACAUCUCCCAACUUACUAGGACCUAAAUGUUAUUAUAUGUGCUAACCUUAGAGAUCAUACUAUACAAACCAAAUAUUACUAUAGAUAGACAGAGGUGUAAAUUAUUCAAUAUAACCACAAUGGUACAAAAAAAGAUUAAUCUUAAAAGAAAUCUUUUGAAAUUGUUCAAUUUUUAACACCAAUAAUAAUGUUAUCACACCUAUAAAUUAUAAUUAUAAAUAUUUAACAAUACCUUUUUUUAUAGAAAAUAUUUUUAUAUUUUACUGCAAUGGAAAUUUGUGUUGUUGGGUAUGUCUAAUUCAUCAAUGAUAAACCCGUCCAUUCGUAUAUUUCGCUUGUGUCAAAAAUUCGCCAUAAAAUUAAUACUUGCACGCUAUUCAAAAAUGAUUAUCCCUUAUAUCAUAUGAUCCGUUGGAGCUAAGAAUAAUCGAGAAAUAGAUUCUUAUAGACGUUUAAGUAUAUUUAUGUUCCUACUCUUUCGGGAAUUUUGGUUCUUCUACAGGUGAAUUAACUCAUCAUACAUUUUAUCCCUCUAAAUAUACUAUUACAUAGAGGGACAUUUGACAAUUAUCCCGCAAAUGUUUCUUUUUCGUUCAAAAGAAACAUUUGCGGGAUAAUUGCCAAUAAUAAGCCGCAUUAUAUUGUAUUAUACUAUUACAUAUACAAUAUAAUUAUUUAUUUAAUGGUUAUUUGACAAUACAGUGUAUAAUGAGUCUACCCUUCUGUAGAAAGACAAAAAGGCCCGAAAUCUUGAGAGUAUAUAUAUAUAUUAAAAUAUAUCUAAGAUGCCUAUCCCUCAAGUUGCAACUAAUCACACUAUAAAUCAACCAUCCUAACACAAUGAUGUCUGAUAGAUCGAACUGGCGAAACAAUUGGGAAGGUUCAGCACUGAAGAGCCAGGCCCUCCCAACAAUUUUGUUCUCAUUCAAGUCAUAUCUGUGAAAAUUGCUUCAUUUAACAAAAGUCACAUUUUAGUAAAGUUUUUAUUAAGAUCUAACUAGAUAAUAAUAUAACUCUCAUACAGAUAGGAGAUCUUUUUAAUUUGGAAAACCUUUCAACAUGUAGAAUCUGUAAUACACAAUAGUGGCAAUCAAUAAGUUCAAAAUUUGAAGAUCUUUUUCAGAGAUUCCUCUGUAUCUCGUAUGUGUAAUCAAUUAUAAUUGCCCCUCUGCGACCAAUUCGUCUCUUCCAAGUGAUUGAUGCAGUCUGUCUUCUCCUCCUCUCUACAGCCAUUCUCCUAGCAUUCUUCUACUCUUGGACAAUUUCUAUCUUGAAAUACCGUUUCUCUAUUUCAUCUUUAUUUCUGUUAAUAAAACUAUUUAUUUUUAUUUUAUAAUCAUAAAAUUAUUUCCCCUCAGAGAAAAUACUAAAUAGUUAUUUUUUCAUUGUAAGACUUGGGGUAUAUUUUCAAAAUAGUUUGUGGAUAUCAAGUAUAGUAUAACGGCAUUGGCAAUAUAACACACUACCCUGAGAUACCAGUCUACUGAUAAGAAUACUUUUGGGUCUUUUUGGUGAUGUUCGAUUGUUAGAGGUUGGAUCAGAGCAAAACAUUUCAUUUUUAUUGCAUCAAAAUGAUCGCUCAUGGACGAUAGGGCACACGAGGAUUUCACUUUAGAUAAUAUUUCGAAAAACAUUAAUUUUUCUACUGUCCAUCUAAAUGAAUUGACACAUCGGAUAAUAGAAAAUCUUCAUUUUUAUUGACAUUUUGGUUUUAGUGUUGGUUGUAUGCUGGCUUAUGCGUCAUUAUAUUGAUGAUAACAUUUAAUUUAUUUUCGAUCCUGAUUAGGUUAUGAUAUUGGCCGAGAUUCUUAUUUCGGAAGUGUUUUUUUUUUUUUGUUUAUAUUUUAAUAUUCUUCGAAAACAAAAGGAAUUGAAAAUUUCUUAAAGGUAUAUCGAAAAAGAAGAGACAAUAUAUAAUGGUAAUAAUAAGAAAAAAAUGCCAUAUGUGAUAUUUUAUAUUUUCUUCAAUACUAAAAUAUAUUUUGAUCAUAUAUUCUUUCAUUUUAAAUUCUAAUUUGGUGUGAAUAUUUUCAAUAAAAUGUAUAGUGUCCUUAACGACAUUCAACAAAAAAAUUGAAAAAAAUAAUUGUAAAAAGAAUACAUUCAACAAUAAUCUUUGGAAGUUGAUUAGGAAUAAAUAAUUUUGUUUCCAUAUCAUUAAUUUCUGAGAGAAAGUGCUCCGAAUUUCGGUGUUAUUUUGCUGUUGUUGUUGUGAUAACAGCUCUAAAUAUAUAAUUCUACCGUUGAUUUAGGGCUUAAAUAAUGAAUGUAUUUCAACAAGAACUACGAGGAACCAGGGUAAGUGAGCUGAAGUACUGGAGCUCCGUCCUCGAGAGAUCUUAUCAGCAUCUACCCUGUAUAACCGAGUUUGUGUAACCGCAAGGUACAAAUUCGGUGUUACAGAGGUCGGUGGGAACAGAUCAUGUCAGCGCUGGACAAAGGUAGGUUGUACCUGGUGUUACUUGGUGAGUAGUCUGUGGAAACAUAUCCAAACAUGAAAUAACAAAGGUAGGUUAUACCUGGUGUAACUUGGUGAAUGGUCUGUGGAAACAUAUCCAAACAUAAAAUAGCAAAGGUAGGUUGUACCUGGUGUAACUUAGUGAAUGGUCUGGGGAAACAUAUCCGAACAUGAAAUAACAAAGAUAGGUUGUACCUGGUGUAACUUGGUGUAUGGUCUGUGGAAACAUAUCCGAACAUGAAAUAACAAAGGUAGGUUGUACCUGGUGUUACUUGGUGAAUGCUCUGUGGAAACAUAUCCAAACAUGAAAUAACAAAGAUAGGUUGUACCUGGUGUAACUUGGUGAAUGGUCUGUGGAAACAUAUCCGAACAUGAAAUA
This 4747-nucleotide non-coding RNA is filed under the name Cordylochernes scorpioides. The record is from RNAcentral. Lineage: Eukaryota; Metazoa; Arthropoda; Arachnida; Pseudoscorpiones; Chernetidae.